GUGGGUGAUCUGCCCUGCACUUUGGGAUAAGCCUGGGAAACUGGGUCUAAUACCGAAUAUGACCAUGCGCCUCCUGGUGUGUGGUGGAAAGCUUUUGCGGUGUGGGAUGGGCCCGCGGCCUAUCAGCUUGUUGGUGGGGUAAUGGCCUACCAAGGCGACGACGGGUAGCCGGCCUGAGAGGGUGACCGGCCACACUGGGACUGAGAUACGGCCCAGACUCCUACGGGAGGCAGCAGUGGGGAAUAUUGCACAAUGGGCGCAAGCCUGAUGCAGCGACGCCGCGUGAGGGAUGACGGCCUUCGGGUUGUAAACCUCUUUCAGCACAGACGAAGCGCAAGUGACGGUAUGUGCAGAAGAAGGACCGGCCAACUACGUGCCAGCAGCCGCGGUAAUACGUAGGGUCCGAGCGUUGUCCGGAAUUACUGGGCGUAAAGAGCUCGUAGGUGGUUUGUCGCGUUGUUCGUGAAAACUCACAGCUUAACUGUGGGCGUGCGGGCGAUACGGGCAGACUUGAGUACUGCAGGGGAGACUGGAAUUCCUGGUGUAGCGGUGGAAUGCGCAGAUAUCAGGAGGAACACCGGUGGCGAAGGCGGGUCUCUGGGCAGUAACUGACGCUGAGGAGCGAAAGCGUGGGGAGCGAACAGGAUUAGAUACCCUGGUAGUCCACGCCGUAAACGGUGGGUACUAGGUGUGGGUUUCCUUCCUUGCGANNNGUGCCGUAGCUAACGCAUUAAGUACCCCGCCUGGNGAGUACGGCCGCAAGGCUAAAACUCAAAGAAAUUGACGGGGGCCCGCACAANNG
Molecule: ribosomal RNA, 802 nt
Filed under: uncultured bacterium
Lineage: Bacteria
Description: bacterial SSU rRNA
Rfam family: Bacterial small subunit ribosomal RNA
Source: RNAcentral